RNAcentral lists this ribosomal RNA (468 nucleotides) under uncultured bacterium. RNAcentral describes it as "partial 16S ribosomal RNA". It matches the Rfam family "Bacterial small subunit ribosomal RNA", at positions 28 to 507 of the family's 1533-position model. The record is from RNAcentral.
GACGAACGCUGGCGGCGUGCUUAACACAUGCAAGUCGAACGGAAAGGCCCUGCUUUUGUGGGGUGCUCGAGUGGCGAACGGGUGAGUAACACGUGAGUAACCUGCCCUUGACUUUGGGAUAACUUCAGGAAACUGGGGCUAAUACCGGAUAGGAGCUCCUGCUGCAUGGUGGGGGUUGGAAAGUUUCGGCGGUUGGGGAUGGACUCGCGGCUUAUCAGCUUGUUGGUGGGGUAGUGGCUUACCAAGGCUUUGAAGGGUAGCCGGCCUGAGAGGGUGACCGGCCACAUGGGGACUGAGAUACGGCCCAGACGCCUACGGGAGGCAGCAGUGGGGAAUAUUGCACAAUGGGCGGAAGCCUGAUGCAGCAACGCCGCGUGCGGGAUGACGGCCUUCGGGUUGUAAACCGCUUUCGCCUGUGACGAAGCGUGAGUGACGGUAAUGGGUAAAGAAGCACCGGCUAACUACGUG